AUGGCCAUGGAGGCGGCUCUUGUCAGCGUGGCGACAGGGGUCCUCAAACCUGUCCUGGGGAAGCUGGGUGUUCUGCUCGGCAACGAGUUCAAGCGUUUCAAAGGUGUGCGCAAGGAGAUCAAGUCUCUCACUCACGAGCUUUCUGCCAUGGAGGCUUUUCUCCUCAAGAUGUCGAAGGAGGAGGAUCCCGAUGAGCAGGAUAAAGCGUGGAUGAAUGAGGUGCGGGAGCUAUCCUACGACAUGGAGGAUGCCAUCGAUGACUUCAUGUUGUGUGUUGAUGACAAGGACACAAAGCCAGAUGGUUUCAUAGAUAAGAUCAAGUGCUCACUAGGGAAGUUGGGGAAGAUGAAGGCUCGUCGUCGAAUUGGCAGAGAGAUACAAGAUUUGAAGAAGCAGAUCAUUCAGGUGGGCGAUAGGAAUGCAAGGUACAAGACUCGCCAGACCUUCACAAACACCAAAAACGCCACUGUUGAUCCUAGAGCUCUUUCUAUGUUUGAGCAUGCCUCAAAGCUUGUCGGAAUUGAUGAGCCAAGCAUGAGAUUAUCAAACUGUUGA
This 555-nucleotide ribosomal RNA is filed under the name Triticum aestivum (bread wheat). RNAcentral's name for it is "partial small subunit ribosomal RNA". The record is from RNAcentral. Lineage: Eukaryota; Viridiplantae; Streptophyta; Magnoliopsida; Poales; Poaceae.